AGCCGAAACGCCCUACGGGGCGUACGCAGGGAAUGACCGCCCUGCGCUGAUGAUGGCAGGUCACG
RNAcentral lists this non-coding RNA (65 nucleotides) under Selenomonas sputigena. Lineage: Bacteria; Bacillati; Bacillota; Negativicutes; Selenomonadales; Selenomonadaceae. The record is from RNAcentral.